AUGGAUCUGACUGGUCUCCCCGGAGCCUCCUCCCUUCCUUGCCUUCUUUUGACCAUUUUUCUUAAACUGGCAUCGGUCAGUCACGGCUUCCUCGAUGCGAAUGUACUUCUAUUCACGCUCUAAAAAUUCGACAUAGAUCUGAGGAAGCAUCUUAUCCAAAGAGUAGGUGAACUUAGAGUUUUGGAGUCACUGCUUCAUCACCACAAUAGCCGUCGCC
RNAcentral lists this long non-coding RNA (217 nucleotides) under Elaeis guineensis (African oil palm). RNAcentral describes it as "long non-coding RNA (EGUI_LNC000519)". Lineage: Eukaryota; Viridiplantae; Streptophyta; Magnoliopsida; Arecales; Arecaceae. The record is from RNAcentral.